UACGUAGGGCGCAAGCGUUGUCCGGAAUUAUUGGGCGUAAAGAGCUCGUAGGUGGCUUGUUGCGUCUGCCGUGAAAGCCCGUGGCUUAACUACGGGUCUGCGGUGGAUACGGGCAGGCUAGAGGCUGGUAGGGGCAAGCGGAAUUCCUGGUGUAGCGGUCAAAUGCGCAGAUAUCAGGAGGAACACCGGUGGCGAAGGCGGCUUGCUGGGCCAGUUCUGACGCUGAGGAGCGAAAGCGUGGGGAGCGAACAGG
RNAcentral lists this ribosomal RNA (253 nucleotides) under uncultured bacterium. Its description in RNAcentral is "partial 16S ribosomal RNA". It matches the Rfam family "Bacterial small subunit ribosomal RNA", at positions 524 to 776 of the family's 1533-position model. The record is from RNAcentral.